UCCUACGGGAGGCAGCAGUGGGGAAUAUUGGACAAUGGGGGGAACCCUGAUCCAGCGACGCCGCGUGAGUGAAGAAGUAUUUCGGUAUGUAAAGCUCUAUCAGCAGGGAAGAAAAUGACGGUACCUGACUAAGAAGCCCCGGCUAACUACGUGCCAGCAGCCGCGGUAAUACGUAGGGGGCAAGCGUUAUCCGGAUUUACUGGGUGUAAAGGGGGCGUAGACGGUGCAGCAAGUCUGAUGUGAAAGGUCGGGGCCCAACCCCGGGACCGCAUUGGAAACUGU
Molecule: ribosomal RNA, 282 nt
Filed under: uncultured bacterium
Lineage: Bacteria
Description: partial 16S ribosomal RNA
Rfam family: Bacterial small subunit ribosomal RNA
Source: RNAcentral